UGGGGAAUUUUGGACAAUGGGGGAAACCCUGAUCCAGCCAUCCCGCGUGUGCGAUGAAGGCCUUCGGGUUGUAAAGCACUUUUGGCAGGAAAGAAACGUCGCGGGUUAAUACCCCGCGAAACUGACGGUACCUGCAGAAUAAGCACCGGCUAACUACGUGCCAGCAGCCGCGGUAAUACGUAGGGUGCAAGCGUUAAUCGGAAUUACUGGGCGUAAAGCGUGCGCAGGCGGUUCGGAAAGAAAGAUGUGAAAUCCCAGAGCUUAACUUUGGAACUGCAUUUUUAACUACCGGGCUAGAGUGUGUCAGAGGGAGGUGGAAUUCCGCGUGUAGCAGUGAAAUGCGUAGAUAUGCGGAGGAACACCGAUGGCGAAGGCAGCCUCCUGGGAUAACACUGACGCUCAUGCACGAAAGCGUGGGGAGCAAACAGGAUUAGAUACCCUGGUAGUCCACGCCCUAAACGAUGUCAACUAGCUGUUGGGGCCUUCGGGCCUUGGUAGCGCAGCUAACGCGUGAAGUUGACCGCCUGGGGAGUACGGUCGCAAGAUUAAAACUCAAAUGAAUG
This 563-nucleotide ribosomal RNA is filed under the name uncultured bacterium. RNAcentral's name for it is "partial 16S ribosomal RNA". It matches the Rfam family "Bacterial small subunit ribosomal RNA", at positions 355 to 911 of the family's 1533-position model. The record is from RNAcentral.